RNAcentral lists this ribosomal RNA (484 nucleotides) under uncultured bacterium. RNAcentral's name for it is "partial 16S ribosomal RNA". It matches the Rfam family "Bacterial small subunit ribosomal RNA", at positions 30 to 507 of the family's 1533-position model. The record is from RNAcentral.
AUUGAACGCUGGCGGCAGGCCUAACAUAUGCAAGUCGAGCGGAUGAAGGGAGCUUGCUCCUGGAUUCAGCGGCGGACGGGUGAGUAAUGCCUAGGAAUCUGCCUGGUAGUGGGGGAUAACGUCCGGAAACGGGCGCUAAUACCGCAUACGUCCUGAGGGAGAAAGUGGGGGAUCUUCGGACCUCACGCUAUCAGAUGAGCCUAGGUCGGAUUAGCUAGUUGGUGGGGUAAAGGCCUACCAAGGCGACGAUCCGUAACUGGUCUGAGAGGAUGAUCAGUCACACUGGAACUGAGACACGGUCCAGACCCCUACGGGAGGCAGCAGUGGGGAAUAUUGGACAAUGGGCGAAAGCCUGAUCCAGCCAUGCCGCGUGUGUGAAGAAGGUCUUCGGAUUGUAAAGCACUUUAAGUUGGGAGGAAGGGCAGUAAGUUAAUACCUUGCUGUUUUGACGUUACCAACAGAAUAAGCACCGGCUAACUUCGUG